CACGUAGGGGACGAGCGUUGUCCGGAUUCAUUGGGCGUAAAGCGCGCGUAGGCGGCUCGGAAAGUCGGUCGUGAAAUGCCGGGGCUCAACCCCGGGACUGCGUCCGAUACUCUCGAGCUGGAGGCAGGUAGGGGAGAUCGGAAUUCCUGGUGUAGCGGUGAAAUGCGCAGAUAUCAGGAAGAACACCCGUGGCGAAGGCGGUUCUCUGGGACGGUACUGACGCUGAGACGCGAAAGCGUGGGGAGCGAACAGG
This 253-nucleotide ribosomal RNA is filed under the name uncultured bacterium. RNAcentral describes it as "partial 16S ribosomal RNA". It matches the Rfam family "Bacterial small subunit ribosomal RNA", at positions 524 to 776 of the family's 1533-position model. The record is from RNAcentral.